AGAGUUUGAUCAUGGCUCAGAGCGAACGCUGGCGGCGUGCUUAACACAUGCAAGUCGAACGCGCGGUUGUAGCAAUACAGCUGGCGCGUGGCGAACGGGUGCGUAACACGUGGAUAACCUUCCUUCAGGUGGGGAAUAACCCAGUGAAAAUUGGGCUAAUACCGCAUAACAUGACGAUGGCACAUGCUGUUGUCUUCAAAGGCGCAAGUCGCCAGAAGAGGGAUCCGCGGCCGAUUAGCUUGUUGGCGAGGUAAUGGCUCACCAAGGCAUUGAUCGGUAGCCGGACUGAGAGGUUGGCCGGCCACACUGGAACUGAGACACGGUCCAGACUCCUACGGGAGGCAGCAGUGGGGAAUCUUGCACAAUGGACGAAAGUCUGAUGCAGCAACGCCGCGUGGGGGAUGAAGCUUUUCGGAGUGUAAACCCCUUUCGACCCGGACGAAUGCCCGCAAGGGUUUGACGGUACGGGUAUAAGAAGCCCCGGCUAACUACGUGCCAGCAGCCGCGGUAAUACGUAGGGGGCCAGCGUUGCUCGGAAUUACUGGGCGUAAAGGGUCUGUAGGCGGUGCGGCAAGUCGGGAGUGAAAUCUCUGGGCUUAACCCAGAGGCUGCUUUCGAAACUGCCGCGCUAGAGUGUGAGAGAGGCGAGUGGAAUUACGGGUGUAGCGGUGAAAUGCGUAGAUAUCCGUAGGAACAUCCGAGGCGAAAGCGGCUCGCUGGAUCACAACUGACGCUGAUAGACGAAAGCUAGGGGAGCAAACAGGAUUAGAUACCCUAGUAGUCC
Molecule: ribosomal RNA, 784 nt
Filed under: uncultured bacterium
Lineage: Bacteria
Description: bacterial SSU rRNA
Rfam family: Bacterial small subunit ribosomal RNA
Source: RNAcentral